CCUACGGGAGGCAGCAGUGAGGAAUAUUGGUCAAUGGGAGAGAUCCUGAACCAGCCACGCCGCGUGAGGGAAGACGGCCCUAUGGGUUGUAAACCUCUUUUGUCGGAGAACAAAACCCGGGACGUGUCCCGGACUGCGUGUAUCCGACGAAAAAGCAUCGGCUAACUCCGUGCCAGCAGCCGCGGUAAUACGGAGGAUGCGAGCGUUAUCCGGAUUUAUUGGGUUUAAAGGGUACGUAGGCGGUCCGUUAAGUCAGCGGUAAAAUUGCGGGGCUCAACCCCGUCCAGCCGUUGAAACUGGCAGACUUGAGUUGGCGAGAGGUACGCGGAAUGCGCGGUGUAGCGGUGAAAGGCAUAGAUAUCGGGCAGAACUCCGAGUGCGAAGGCAGCGUACUGGCGCCAGACUGACGCUGAGGCACGAAAGCGUGGGGAUCGAACAGGAUUAGAUACCCUUGUAGUC
Molecule: ribosomal RNA, 459 nt
Filed under: uncultured bacterium
Lineage: Bacteria
Description: partial 16S ribosomal RNA
Rfam family: Bacterial small subunit ribosomal RNA
Source: RNAcentral